GAUGAACGCUGGCGGCGUGCCUAAUACAUGCAAGUCGAGCGAACCACUUCGGUGGUGAGCGGCGAACGGGUGAGUAACACGUAGGUGAUCUGCCCAUCAGACGGGGACAACGAUUGGAAACGAUCGCUAAUACCGGAUAGGACGAAAGUUUAAAGGUGCUUCUGGCACCGCUGAUGGAUGAGCCUGCGGCGCAUUAGCUAGUUGGUAGGGUAAAGGCCUACCAAGGCGACGAUGCGUAGCCGACCUGAGAGGGUGAACGGCCACACUGGGACUGAGACACGGCCCAGACUCCUACGGGAGGCAGCAGUGGGGAAUAUUGCACAAUGGGGGAAACCCUGAUGCAGCGACGCCGCGUGAAGGAUGAAGUAUUUCGGUAUGUAAAACUUCUAUCAAGCAGGGAAGAAGAUGACGGUACCUGACUAAGAAGCCCCGGCUAACUACGUG
This 444-nucleotide ribosomal RNA is filed under the name uncultured bacterium. Its description in RNAcentral is "bacterial SSU rRNA". It matches the Rfam family "Bacterial small subunit ribosomal RNA", at positions 28 to 507 of the family's 1533-position model. The record is from RNAcentral.